This is a non-coding RNA of Triticum urartu, 115 nucleotides long. The record is from Rfam. NCBI's taxonomy places the organism in Eukaryota, Viridiplantae, Streptophyta, Magnoliopsida, Poales, Poaceae.
AAAGUAUUCCUUUCGUUCCAAAUUACUUGUCGCAGAAAAUGAUGUAUCUAGAACUAAAAUACAUCUAGAUACAUCCAUACCUGCGACAAGUAAUUUAAAAUGGAGGGAGUAGGAA